UUUCCGUUGGUGAACCAGCGGAGGGAUCAUUACCGAGUGCAAACUCAUAACCCUUUGUGAACCUAUAUCUGUUGCUUCGGCGGCUCGCUCUCGGGCGAGCCCGCCGGUAAUAUCAGUAUCUCUGUUUGAACCCGACGAUACUUCUGAGUGUUCUUAGCGAACAGUUAAAACUUUUAACAACGGAUCUCUUGGCUCUAGCAUCGAUGAAGAAGCAGC
RNAcentral lists this unclassified non-coding RNA (216 nucleotides) under plant metagenome. RNAcentral describes it as "partial contains small subunit ribosomal RNA, internal transcribed spacer 1, and 5.8S ribosomal RNA". The stretch from base 169 to 216 matches the Rfam family "5.8S ribosomal RNA", at positions 1 to 49 of the family's 154-position model. The record is from RNAcentral.